UAGCCGUAAACGAUACUCGCUAGGUGUCGGCCACGGUGCGACCGUUGUCGGUGCCGUAGGGAAGCCGUGAAGCGAGCCACCUGGGAAGUACGGCCGCAAGGCUGAAACUUAAAGGAAUUGGCGGGGGAGCACCACAACGGGCGGAGCUUGCGGUUUAAUUGGAUUCAACGCCGGAAAUCUUACCGGGACCGACAGCAACAUGAAGGCCAGGCUGAAGACUUUGCCGGAUUAGCUGAGAGGUGGUGCAUGGCGUAGUCGUGU
Molecule: ribosomal RNA, 261 nt
Filed under: uncultured archaeon
Lineage: Archaea
Description: partial 16S ribosomal RNA
Rfam family: Archaeal small subunit ribosomal RNA
Source: RNAcentral